This is a long non-coding RNA of Gallus gallus (chicken), 1487 nucleotides long. The record is from Ensembl. Lineage: Eukaryota; Metazoa; Chordata; Aves; Galliformes; Phasianidae.
CACGGCGUCACGGCGCCCGCCGGCAACGCCUCCCCGACGCCCCCCGAUUCCUGGAAAGAGCGGCAGGGGGAGCGGCCCGGCCCGGCCCGUCUCGGUCUGGUGUGCAGGAGUUGUGGCGGCCGCACGCCGCGAUGGGUCGCGUCGCUCCUCCGGAGUGCCACGGCGUAUUCUGCUUACGAUCAAAGUUCCCGCGCGUGGCGAGCAGAGCGCCGUGCGGUUUUGUGUCUGCGGCGCGAAGCGAGGCCUGGGCGCGGCGGGACCUCAGCCGUGCGGUGAAGGUCGCGGCUGCGGGUCGGGAGCGGCCUGUGGGGAGCGAAAGCAAAAGCAAAGCCAGGCCGGGCAGGAGGAGCCUUGCGCUGAGGGACGGGCGGCCUGCGGACCGCGCCUGGCCGGCUCUCCAGGCAUAGGGGCAGCUGCUGCCGUCGGUCUGAGCUCGCAAGUUUGAGGCCGCUGCUGAGAGCCGAACGAGAUGUGGAAGACCCCGUAGGUCCCGAGGGGAAAGUCAGCGACUGCCCCCUCCUCUCACAACGUUUCACAACUAAAUCAAAAGUCAUCGUGCAGCAGAAGAGGGUGAAAGGAGAUAACGACAGAAGGGGAGGAGCGGGGCUGUGUCCUUUCACAGACCGGGCAGUGAAUGCGAGGGAAUGGGACCUGCAGUGGAUCAGCAGAGAUUCUGAGAACUGAAGGCCUCACCAGAGUGAACAGAAUCAGUGGGUUACAGUGUAUGAGCACAAAGUCUUACUAGCCACUCUCUUACUCCUCCCUGUCCCUGACCUCAAGGUACAGAACCUUCUACCGUGUCCCUCAUCUUCAUGCAGGAUCUUCUUCCCUUUUUGUUGCUGGAGGACAACAUGAACUCCUCCUGCUAACUCCUGGACCUUUCUUUAGUCCAUCUUUCUGAGCUAUGAGGCCAGCAGAAGCUCCCGUGUAUCCUGCUCUCUGUGGGACAACACCCAUUGCAAUGGGCAGGGGCUGGGUCCCUCUGUGUGAAGAAGCGGCAGAGGAGAACUAGCUAGAAGGGCUGGAAAGGCAUACUGGGGAACCUCCUGCUAUGAUAAGAGCAGUAACUGCUUUUGUAUACCAACCAAAUGGAAACUGAAAACUCUAUAAUAAAACCAACAGUAAGUGACUUUCAGAUCAGAAAACAGGUUUGCAAGACACAGUUUGUGAGCACAUCAUGGAAUGCAAACUGCCUCACAUUUUUGGGGGUCAGAGGAGGAAGCCAUCCCUCCCAUCUACAAAGAUCAGCUUGGGCAGAUGCUCGCAUCUCCAGCAGGGAGGCCAAACCUCUGAUGACGAUUCUCUUCUUCUGGUCAAAAUGUCAUCUCCAGCAUCUGCUACCUGACCCUAACUGCAGAAGAGAUUUUUCUCCUUUCCUUGUAAACAUCAAUCCCUCACAAUACUGAACAUAAGCUCUAGAUGCAAAAAUUACAAGUAGCAAAGCCGGAGUUUAUUAGAAACCACAUCUACCUUCAUUUGAAAGUGGG